GGAAUAUUGUUUAAUCUGCGAAAGCGGGAAACAGCAACGCCGCGUGUGCGAUGAAGGCCUUCGGGUUGUAAAGCACUUUUUGAAGGGAAGAGGAAGGACGGUACCUUCAGAAUAAGCCUCGGCUAACUACGUGCCAGCAGCCGCGGUAACACGUAGGAGGCGAGCGUUAUUCGGAUUUACUGGGUGUAAAGCGCGUGCAGGCGGUUCGGUAAGUUGGAUGUGAAAGCUCCUGGCUUAACUGGGAGAGGUCGUUCAAUACUGUCGGACUUGAGAGCGGUAGAGGGAGGUGGAAUUCCGGGUGUAGUGGUGAAAUGCGUAGAUAUCCGGAGGAACACCAGUGGCGAAAGCGGCCUCCUGGACCGAUUCUGACGCUCAGACGCGAAAGCUAGGGUAGCAAACG
This 400-nucleotide ribosomal RNA is filed under the name uncultured bacterium. RNAcentral's name for it is "bacterial SSU rRNA". It matches the Rfam family "Bacterial small subunit ribosomal RNA", at positions 358 to 774 of the family's 1533-position model. The record is from RNAcentral.